UAGCCGUUUUACGGUAAUUGCCUUUUAAGCAGGGUGUCCGGGGUUCGAAUCCCCGCUGGAGCACCA
RNAcentral lists this transfer RNA (66 nucleotides) under Caudoviricetes sp. RNAcentral describes it as "tRNA-Lys". It matches the Rfam family "tRNA". From Rfam's summary of the family: Transfer RNA (tRNA) molecules are approximately 80 nucleotides in length. Lineage: Duplodnaviria; Heunggongvirae; Uroviricota; Caudoviricetes. The record is from RNAcentral.